GGGAAAAGACGAUAAAACAGGAGGCUGAUUUUUCCCCCAGAACCCUAGCUGCAUACAAUCUAUUUUUGGUACACAGAGGAUCAUGUGAAGCUAGAAUGAAACUUUAGAAAGAGCCUUUUAUUAGGGCCUUUUAUUCCUAAAUGAAAAUUGUGCUGGGCUCGCCUUAGGCGCUCUCCUGCUUUCUUUCAUCAGUUUGAACUGCAGAGGGUCCAUGGAAAAACCGUCGACUGGCGUAUUUCCCUAUAUGAUGUCAAAACUGCAUCUCUUUGGGGUGCUUUUCAGACCAAAGAUUCCUAGAUAAAAAUUACUCCAAAAGUCAGGUUUUCCUAAACCGCAUCCCUAGUUUGAAUAUGUCCGUCUGUCUACCUGGCCGCACCACAUCUGGAUGACACAGCGAUGAUUUAUUUUGGAUCCCGAAGAACUUGAACAAGACAAAUAGUGUUUGAGAAGCCACGUGAACCUGAGGGAGCUGCCAAGGACAAGGGGAAGAGUGAUAGGGGCUGCAUUUCAUAUUGGAACCCCACAGCACGGGAGGAGCGAUAAACUUUAUUUGCCGCACAAAUAGAAAAAGGGAACAGCUUGCCUAUCAGGCACAUCAGGUGUUAGGAUUUGACGCAGAACUCCCGAAUAAUGUGUUGUUUGCCUUUUGGAGAAAUGAAGAGGAAGGAAGUGUCUUUCUGCAACUGCACACGAGAUAGUGGCGAGAGAUGGGAGAUGGGGAAAUUGUCAUUUCCUAGGCUGCUUCCGAAAGAUUCCAUGGGGCAGGGGGCAAGGGUUAUGAAGAGGUCACAAAAGGACUGGGACACCUCAAGCUGGCCCCAGAAAAGAGCACUUGGCAGGAUGCUUUGUCAUGGCCUCAAUUUCAAAACUGUGUGCCAGAGGGAGAGGUGAAUUUGCGGUAGCAGAGAGUCGUGGAAAGAAUGCAGGCCUUGGAAUAAUCCAUCUCCUCCACAGACGUUUACUGAGCCUCUGCUGGUGGCUGAGAUCCCUGGGGGACAGAAUUAAAAGGAAUUCUGCUCAAAUCUGGCUCUGGCACGUUCUCGUUAUGGAGAGGGGCGCAGAGAACUGCAGUUCUCUGCAAUCGGGUGGUAGCCUCUGAAAACGGGAUCGCUAGUCCUACUCCAUCACAUUGUCGUGAAGAUCAAACGACUUAAUUUACGGACGGUGAAUCACUUAAAUCUCUAAGCUCAUCUAUAAAGUGACGAUAAGGGAGUUCCCGUCGUGGCACAGCGGAAACGAAUCCAACAAGGAACCAUGAGGUUGCGGGUUCGAUCCUUGGCCUCGCUCGGUGGGUGAAGGGUCCGGCAUUGCCGUGAGCUGUGGUGUAGGUCACAGACACAGCUCAGAUCCCGCAUUGCUGAUUAUUUAUUUAUCCGCAUGGCAGAUUAUUUAUUCAUUUAUUUAUUUAUUUAUCUGGCGGAGACCGGCAGCUAUAGUUCUAAUUAGACCCCUAGCCUAGGAACCUCCGUAUUCUGCGGGUGCAGCCCUAAAAAGACAAAAGACAAAAUAAAUAAAUAAAUAAGAAAAAAAUAAUAAAAUGAAGAUAAAAAUACCUAAUUCCUAGGGCUGCUGUGAAAUUUGGAAGGGGGAACACAGCGCCUGGUUAUGGGCCAAUUCCCCCGAAUAGUAGCCUUGACAUUUUUAGGAUCCAUUAUGUUGGCUCCAGUGAAUAAAAUUUGAGAACAAAUUUCACGGGCAUCUCUGGGAGGCUAAAUGGGAACUUGGUAAUUUGGGGAAGGUUCUCUAGACCUUCAAAUGAAACUUUUAUCAAGCAGAAAAUUCCAGAAGAGUGGAGGUACAUGAUGGUCUCAUUCCAUCUACCUUCCUAUCAAAGGAGGGAGUGUUUUAAGCGAGGCAUGGACUGGCUCCUCUUCCAGACUUGGGUCGACAGGGAGCUAGAUCCCGCUCGCUGUGUGACCUUGGGGAACUUACCUUCCACUAGUAGCUAAACUGAGAUUUGUCCAUAUCUAAGAACAUGGCAGAUUAUUUAUUUAUUUAUUUAUUGGCUUACACAACAAAAAUUUACUUUAUCACAGUUCCGGAGGCUGGAAGUUUGAGACGAAGGUAUCAGCAGGACUGGUUCCUUCAGAGGCCUCUGCUCGAUGUGUGGAUAAAUGGCCAUCUUCCCCCUGUAUCCUCACACGCUCUUCCCUCUGUGUGUGUCAUUCUGAAGGUCAGAAGUCCACACCAGUCUCACCGGGCUAAGGUCAGGGAGGGGCAGAGCUCAUUCCUUCUGGAGGUUCUAGGAGAGACUCCAUUUCCCUGCCCUUCCCAGCUUCUGGAGGAUGCUCAUAUUUUGUGGUCCAUGGCUCCUUCCUCCAUCCUCAAAACCAGCAAUGAUGUACAAGUCCUGCUCACAUCGCAUUGCUCCUGGGUUAACGAUCCGGCGUUGCCGUGAGCUGUGGUGUAGGUUGCAGACGCGGCUCGGAUCCCGCGUUGCUGUGGCUCUGGUGUAGGCCGGUGGCUACAGCUCCGAUUCAACUCCUAGCCUGGGAAACUCCAUAUGCCACUGAAGUGGCCCAAAGAAAUAGAAAAAAGACCAAAAAAAAAAAAAAAAAAAGAAAAGAAAAGAAAGUUGCACAAUCAGUGUAAUGGCUACGACAGGAGUGGCUUUGCCAUCAUCGUACACAGAUCUUCUGUCCAGGGCUCAGGGAUCAAGGAUGCUCACAAAGCACAGAAAACGAAAGAGAAACAAUGAGAUAAACACAUGGGAGUUCCCGUCGUGGCGCAGUGGCUAACAAAUCCGACUAGGAACCAUGAGGUGGCGGGUUCGGUCCCUGCCCUUGCUGAGUGGGUUAACGAUCCGGCGUUGCCGUGAGCUGUGGUGUAGGUUGCAGACGCGGCUCGGAUCCCGCGUUGCUGUGGCUCUGGUGUAGGCCGGUGGCUACAGCUCCGAUUCAACUCCUAGCCUGGGAACCUCCAUAUGCUGUGGGAGCGGCCCAAGAAAUAGCUCAAAAAAAAAAAAAAAAAAAAAAAAAAA
RNAcentral lists this long non-coding RNA (2980 nucleotides) under Sus scrofa (pig). RNAcentral describes it as "lncRNA (ENSSSCG00040055720.1)". Lineage: Eukaryota; Metazoa; Chordata; Mammalia; Artiodactyla; Suidae. The record is from RNAcentral.